UAGGGAAUCUUCGGCAAUGGACGAAAGUCUGACCGAGCAACGCCGCGUGAGUGAAGAAGGUUUUCGGAUCGUAAAACUCUGUUGUUAGAGAAGAACAAGAACGUUAGUAACUGAACGUCCCCUGACGGUAUCUAACCAGAAAGCCACGGCUAACUACGUGCCAGCAGCCGCGGUAAUACGUAGGUGGCAAGCGUUGUCCGGAUUUAUUGGGCGUAAAGCGAGCGCAGGCGGUUUCUUAAGUCUGAUGUGAAAGCCCCCGGCUCAACCGGGGAGGGUCAGUGGAAACUGGGAGACUUGAGUGCAGAAGAGGAGAGUGGAAUUCCAUGUGUAGCGGUGAAAUGCGUAGAUAUAUGGAGGAACACCAGUGGCGAAGGCGGCUCUCUGGUCUGUAACUGACGCUGAGGCUCGAAAGCGUGGGGAGCAAACAGG
RNAcentral lists this ribosomal RNA (429 nucleotides) under Gemmatimonadota bacterium. RNAcentral describes it as "Gemmatimonadetes bacterium partial 16S ribosomal RNA". It matches the Rfam family "Bacterial small subunit ribosomal RNA", at positions 355 to 776 of the family's 1533-position model. Lineage: Bacteria; Pseudomonadati; Gemmatimonadota. The record is from RNAcentral.